UGGGGAAUUUUGGACAAUGGGCGAAAGCCUGAUCCAGCAAUGCCGCGUGUGUGAAGAAGGCCUUCGGGUUGUAAAGCACUUUUGUCCGGAAAGAAAUCCUUGGCUCUAAUACAGUCGGGGGAUGACGGUACCGGAAGAAUAAGCACCGGCUAACUACGUGCCAGCAGCCGCGGUAAUACGUAGGGUGCAAGCGUUAAUCGGAAUUACUGGGCGUAAAGCGUGCGCAGGCGGUUUGCUAAGACCGAUGUGAAAUCCCCGGGCUCAACCUGGGAACUGCAUUGGUGACUGGCAGGCUAGAGUAUGGCAGAGGGGGGUAGAAUUCCACGUGUAGCAGUGAAAUGCGUAGAGAUGUGGAGGAAUACCGAUGGCGAAGGCAGCCCCCUGGGCCAAUACUGACGCUCAUGCACGAAAGCGUGGGGAGCAAACAGGAUUAGAUACCCUGGUAGUCCACGCCCUAAAACGAUGUCAACUAGUUGUUGGGGGAUUCAUUUCCUUAGUAACGUAGCUAGCGCGUGAAGUUGACCGCCUGGGGGAGUACGGUCGCAAGAUUAAAACUCAAAUGAAUUGACGGGGUCAUAGCUGUUUCC
Molecule: ribosomal RNA, 587 nt
Filed under: uncultured bacterium
Lineage: Bacteria
Description: partial 16S ribosomal RNA
Rfam family: Bacterial small subunit ribosomal RNA
Source: RNAcentral